CCGAGUUUACAACUCCCAAACCCCCUGUGAACAUACCACUUGUUGCCUCGGCGGAUCAGCCCGCUCCCGGUAAAACGGGACGGCCCGCCAGAGGACCCCUAAACUCUGUUUCUAUAUGUAACUUCUGAGUAAAACCAUAAUAAAUCA
RNAcentral lists this unclassified non-coding RNA (147 nucleotides) under soil metagenome. RNAcentral's name for it is "partial internal transcribed spacer 1". The record is from RNAcentral.